GACGAACGCUGGCGGCGUGCCUAAUACAUGCAAGUAGAACGCUGAAGAGAGGAGCUUGCUCUUCUUGGAUGAGUUGCGAACGGGUGAGUAACGCGUAGGUAACCUGCCUGGUAGCGGGGGAUAACUAUUGGAAACGAUAGCUAAUACCGCAUAAAAUGGAUUAUCGCAUGAUAAUCCAUUGAAAGGUGCAACUGCAUCACUACCAGAUGGACCUGCGUUGUAUUAGCUAGUUGGUGGGGUAACGGCUCACCAAGGCGACGAUACAUAGCCGACCUGAGAGGGUGAUCGGCCACACUGGGACUGAGACACGGCCCAGACUCCUACGGGAGGCAGCAGUAGGGAAUCUUCGGCAAUGGACGGAAGUCUGACCGAGCAACGCCGCGUGAGUGAAGAAGGUUUUCGGAUCGUAAAGCUCUGUUGUAAGAGAAGAACGAGUGUGAGAGUGGAAAGUUCACACUGUGACGGUAUCUUACCAGAAAGGGACGGCUAACUACGUG
Molecule: ribosomal RNA, 497 nt
Filed under: uncultured bacterium
Lineage: Bacteria
Description: partial 16S ribosomal RNA
Rfam family: Bacterial small subunit ribosomal RNA
Source: RNAcentral